CCCUUAGAUGUCCUGGGCCGCACGCGCGCUACACUGAACGGAUCAGCGCGUUUUCCCUUCCCGAGAGGGACGGGUAACCUGCUGAACCCCGUUCGUGGUAGGGAUCGGGGCUUGCAAUUAUUCCCCGUGAACCAGGAAUGCCCAGUAAGUGCAAGUCAUAAGCUUGCGUUGAUUACGUCCCUGCCCUUUGUACACACCGCCCGUCGCUACUACCGAUUGAACGUUUUAGUGAGGUACUCGGACUGAGCCUCAGAAGAUUCACGUCUUUUGUGCUGCUCGGGAAGAUUCCCAAACUUGUGCGUUUAGAGGAAGUAAAAGUCGUAACA
RNAcentral lists this ribosomal RNA (326 nucleotides) under uncultured eukaryote. RNAcentral's name for it is "partial 18S ribosomal RNA". It matches the Rfam family "Eukaryotic small subunit ribosomal RNA", at positions 1470 to 1796 of the family's 1831-position model. The record is from RNAcentral.